RNAcentral lists this ribosomal RNA (256 nucleotides) under uncultured bacterium. RNAcentral describes it as "partial 16S ribosomal RNA". It matches the Rfam family "Bacterial small subunit ribosomal RNA", at positions 524 to 776 of the family's 1533-position model. The record is from RNAcentral.
UACGUAGGGGCAAGCGUUGUCCGGAAUCAUUUGGGCGUAAAGAGCGUGUAGGCGGCUCGGUAAGUCCGCUUGUAAAAGUCCAGGGCUCAACCCUGGAAAGCCGGUGGAAACUGUCGAGCUAGAGUCCGGAAGAGGCGAGUUGGAAUUUCCUGGUGUAGCGGUGAAAUGCGCAGAUAUCAGGAGGAACACCAAUGGCGAAGGCAGCUCGCUGGGACGGUACUGACGCUGAGACGCGAAAGCGUGGGGAGCAAACAGG